This 1747-nucleotide small RNA is filed under the name Pan troglodytes (chimpanzee). RNAcentral's name for it is "processed transcript". Lineage: Eukaryota; Metazoa; Chordata; Mammalia; Primates; Hominidae. The record is from RNAcentral.
AGAAUCUCUCCUGUCCAGUGGUAAGAGAAUAAGUAAAAAAGGCAAAUGUCUUGGAAUUAGUAUGGAAAUAGCUUUGACCUUAUAGACUUCCUGAUAGGGUCUCAGGUACCCUCUGUGGUCCUUGGACCACCCAUUGAGUACUGCUGCUAUAUAGUAAUGAAAAUUAAGAAACUACUACUAUAUGUAAUAUUAGAAAUGAACCUCACACGUGGUACUGGACAGAAGAUGCUGGAGAAAAAAGUACCUCCUAUAUCAUUCCAUUUAUUGGAAAUUCAGAAAUAGACAAAAACCACUGCAUAGUGUAAGAAGGCAGGAUAUCGCCUACCUUUGGUGGACUUGGCAUCCAGAGAUGAGCCCCAGAAGUUAUCUCCAAAAAGGGAUAUUUAUGAAACAGAAUUAUCCCAGUGGGUUAACAUGGAAGAAUUUAAAAGCCAUAGUCCUGAGAGAUCAAUUUUCAGUGCUAUCUGGGAAGGCAACUGUCAUUUUGAGCAACAUCAGGGACAAGAGGAGGGUUAUUUUAGACAACUUAUGAUUAACCAUGAAAACAUGCCCAUUUUUAGCCAACAUACUUUACUCACUCAAGAAUUUUAUGAUAGAGAGAAAAUCUCUGAAUGUAAAAAGUGUAGAAAAAUCUUCAGUUACCAUUUAUUUUUUAGUCACCACAAAAGAACUCAUUCUAAAGAACUUUCUGAAUGUAAAGAAUGCACAGAAAUUGUUAAUACACCAUGCCUUUUUAAACAACAGACAAUUCAAAAUGGUGACAAAUGCAAUGAGUGUAAAGAAUGUUGGAAGGCCUUUGUUCAUUGCUCACAACUUAAACAUCUAAGAAUUCAUAAUGGUGAAAAACGCUAUGAAUGUAACGAAUGUGGGAAGGCCUUUAAUUAUGGCUCAGAACUUACUCUACAUCAAAGAAUUCACACUGGUGAGAAACCUUAUGAAUGUAAAGAAUGUGGGAAGGCCUUUAGACAGCGAUCACAGCUUACUCAACAUCAGAGACUUCAUACUGGUGAAAAACCCUAUGAAUGUAAGCAAUGUGGGAAGGCUUUUAUUCGUGGCUUUCAACUUACUGAACAUCUGCGACUCCAUACUGGUGAGAAACCUUAUGAAUGUAAAGAAUGUGGAAAGACUUUUAGGCAUCGCUCACAUCUUACUAUACAUCAGAGAAUUCAUACUGGUGAGAAACCCUAUGAAUGUCGGGAAUGUGGGAAGGCCUUUAGCUAUCACUCAAGCUUCUCACACCAUCAGAAAAUUCAUUCUGGCAAGAAACCUUAUGAAUGUCAUGAAUGUGGGAAGGCUUUUUGUGAUGGCUUACAACUAACCCUACAUCAGAGGAUUCAUACUGGUGAGAAACCCUAUGAGUGUAAGGAAUGUGGGAAGACUUUUAGACAGUGUUCACACCUCAAAAGACAUCAGAGAAUUCAUACUGGUGAGAAACCUCAUGAAUGCAUGAUAUGUGGUAAGGCCUUUAGACUUCAUUCACACCUUAUUCAACAUCAAAGAAUUCAUACUGGUGAGAAACCCUAUGAAUGUAAGGAAUGUGGGAAGGCCUUUAGCUAUCAUUCAAGCUUCUCACACCAUCAGAGAAUUCAUUCUGGAAAGAAACCUUAUCAAUGCGGGAAGGCGUUUAAUCAUAGAUUACAACUUAACUUACAUCAGACUCUUCAUACUGGUGAGAAGCCAGUCAGGUUUCCUCUCCUCCCUCCCCAUCCUAGUCUAGCAUCAUGAAAUUUGUUGAUGGAAAUAUACA